CGUGCAGGCGGCCGAUCAAGUCUGAUGUGAAAGCCCGGGGCUUAACCUCGGAAGGGCGUUGGAAACUGGUCGGCUUGAGUUCGGGAGGGGAAAGCGGAAUUCCGGGUGUAGAGGUGAAAUUCGUAGAUAUCCGGAGGAACACCGGUGGCGAAGGCGGCUUUCUGGACCGAAACUGACGCUGAGACGCGAAAGCGUGGGGAGCAAACAGGAUUAGAUACCCUGGUAGUCCACGCUGUAAACGAUGGGCACUAGGUGUGGGGGGUUUUUAAUCCCUCCGUGCCGCAGCUAACGCAUUAAGUGCCCCGCCUGGGGAGUACGGCCGCAAGGUUAAA
Molecule: ribosomal RNA, 332 nt
Filed under: uncultured bacterium
Lineage: Bacteria
Description: bacterial SSU rRNA
Rfam family: Bacterial small subunit ribosomal RNA
Source: RNAcentral